GCCCGCCUAGCUCAAUCGGAUAGAGCGUGAGACUUUUACGUACCACGUGGGCUCAGUCAGUCACGAGGCUUUAAUCUCAAGGCUGCGGGUUCGACCCCCGCGGUGGGCU
This 109-nucleotide transfer RNA is filed under the name Trametes sanguinea. RNAcentral describes it as "tRNA-Lys". It matches the Rfam family "tRNA". From Rfam's summary of the family: Transfer RNA (tRNA) molecules are approximately 80 nucleotides in length. Their secondary structure includes four short double-helical elements and three loops (D, anti-codon, and T loops). Lineage: Eukaryota; Fungi; Basidiomycota; Agaricomycetes; Polyporales; Polyporaceae. The record is from RNAcentral.